Molecule: ribosomal RNA, 253 nt
Filed under: uncultured bacterium
Lineage: Bacteria
Description: partial 16S ribosomal RNA
Rfam family: Bacterial small subunit ribosomal RNA
Source: RNAcentral
UACGUAGGGGGCAAGCGUUGUUCGGAAUUACUGGGCGUAAAGAGCGCGCAGGCGGCUGGUCAAGUCCGAUGUGAAAUCUCCCGGCUUAACUGGGAAACUGCAUCGGAAACUGAUCGGCUUGAAGGUGGGAGAGGGUAGUGGAAUUCCCGGUGUAGUGGUGAAAUGCGUAGAUAUCGGGAGGAACACCAGUGGCGAAGGCGACUACCUGGCCCAUUCUUGACGCUGAGGCGCGAAAGCUAGGGGAGCGAACGGG